This 429-nucleotide ribosomal RNA is filed under the name Listeria monocytogenes. RNAcentral's name for it is "bacterial SSU rRNA". It matches the Rfam family "Bacterial small subunit ribosomal RNA", at positions 70 to 482 of the family's 1533-position model. Lineage: Bacteria; Bacillati; Bacillota; Bacilli; Caryophanales; Listeriaceae. The record is from RNAcentral.
CAGACGAGGAGCUUGCUCCUCUGACGUUAGCGGCGGACGGGUGAGUAACACGUGGAUAACCUACCUAUAAGACUGGGAUAACUUCGGGAAACCGGAGCUAAUACCGGAUAAUAUAUUGAACCGCAUGGUUCAAUAGUGAAAGACGGUUUUGCUGUCACUUAUAGAUGGAUCCGCGCCGCAUUAGCUAGUUGGUAAGGUAACGGCUUACCAAGGCAACGAUGCGUAGCCGACCUGAGAGGGUGAUCGGCCACACUGGAACUGAGACACGGUCCAGACUCCUACGGGAGGCAGCAGUAGGGAAUCUUCCGCAAUGGGCGAAAGCCUGACGGAGCAACGCCGCGUGAGUGAUGAAGGUCUUCGGAUCGUAAAACUCUGUUAUUAGGGAAGAACAAAUGUGUAAGUAACUAUGCACGUCUUGACGGUACCUAA